Molecule: long non-coding RNA, 1534 nt
Filed under: Salmo salar (Atlantic salmon)
Lineage: Eukaryota; Metazoa; Chordata; Actinopteri; Salmoniformes; Salmonidae
Description: lncRNA (ENSSSAG00000122090.1)
Source: RNAcentral
CCUAAGCUCACAGCUUCAUGCAGUUGUGACUGCUUAUUCACAGAUCAGUCCAUCAUACUACAACCUAUGCUGAAAAAGUGAAGCUCAUGAAAUGAGGAAUGAUUCUAUUAUACAAACAUCUUUCUUCCAGAAUGUACCACCUUGAAUAGACUAUUAUCUUUUGACAUUUUAGUGGAAACAAGAACUUGCUCUUCAAACCUUCCAUAACAAUCUAUAUUUAACAAACUCGCAGAUGGUUGGAAUAAGAUCCAGCUUGAGGAUCCUUUUUUUCUGUGUGAGGAAGAAGUCGAGAUGUGCCAUUUUCCAAGAGUUCCACGUGAGAUGAGACAUUGACUUUUGACAGGUGUUUGUUUGAAUAUCAAACAGACCGAUGGAGGCCUACAGAUGGCCAACAGAUUGCAUUCCAGACUGGGCCUUCAUUCUAGGACUGGCCAGUGGGGGAGCAGAGAGAGUAGUCUCGUCUCGAUGGCUCUCUGGGGCUCUGGACGUAAAAACCUCUCAUCAUCACCAUCAUCCUCAGACAGAGGCUGUGUCAGGCACCUGAGACCAUGUUUUUCCAUCAGCGCUGAGCAGGGAUCAGAGUUUGAUCCCAUCAAUAUCUGCAGUGGCAUCAACAUCAAGCUCAGCACCAGGAACUAGUACCAAUCCUGCUGCUGAUGACGAUGACCUGGACACCAGCUUUAGUAGUACAGAGCCUGUAGACCCAUUGAAUGAAAGCUUUCAGCAUGGAAUAAGCCCAAUCUCAACAUCACCUGACGUGGAUACAAGCCAUGACAGCCAAAGGAAAAUGCCACGGGCACUAUCUGAUGUGUGGAGACAUUUCACUGCAGCUAAUGUAGAAGGAAAGGCUGUGUACAUUUGCAAAUACUGUGCCAAAUCAUGUGUGAAGAAUGCAACAAAGAUGCAGAAUCAUCUGGCCAAGUGCAUAAAGUUCCUUCAGCGUUCACAACAAGCAACCUCUGACAAAAGUCCCUCUACUUCUAUUCGAGGUCAAAUCAGACACCUUAUCGAUUGCAACAGCUGGAAUCAGAAGUUUUUUGACUCAACGGAGGAACGUAGUCAGAGAAAUGCUGAUGAAUGUCUUGCUCGAGCUGUGUAUGCAACUGGUUCACCUCUGAUGCUCACAGGCAAUGUGUAUUGGAAGAAAUUUCUGAAUGUUCUUUGCCCAGCAUACACCCCUCCAACCAGACAUGCUUUAUCUACUAAUUUGCUGGAUGCAGAGUUCAACAGAAGAGUCAACUCAUUUAAUUAAAGUUCAAUUCAUAACUAAAUAGUUUUUUUUAUUUCUAUUGUAAGGAUUUAAUAAUUUGCAAUUAUGUCUACUUAUCAAGGCACAAGGCGAGACCCAGAUGCAGACACAGGAGGCAGAUGGUUGGAGUCUUACAAUGUUUAUUAAUCCAAAGGGUUAGGCAAAAGAAUGGUUGUGGACAGGCAAAAAGGUCAAAACCAGAUCAGAGUCCAGGAGGUACAGAGUGGCAGACAGGCUCGUGGUCAAGGCAGGCAGAAUGGUCAGGCAGGCGGGUAGAAAAAGGAG